This 1406-nucleotide ribosomal RNA is filed under the name uncultured bacterium. RNAcentral's name for it is "16S ribosomal RNA". It matches the Rfam family "Bacterial small subunit ribosomal RNA". The record is from RNAcentral.
AGAGUUUGAUCCUGGCUCAGGAUGAACGCUAGCGGCAGGCUUAACACAUGCAAGUCGAGGGGCAGCGGGGGGCGCGCUUGCGCGUCCCGCCGGCGACCGGCGCACGGGUGAGUAACACGUAUGCAACCUGCCCCCGCCAGGGGUACAACCCUCCGAAAGGGGGGCUGAUACCGCGUACAUCCCCCGGGGGCAUCCCCGGGGGAGGAAAGCCCUACGGGGCGGGCGGUGAUGGGCAUGCGGCGCAUUAGGAAGACGGCGGUGUGACGGACCACCGUUCCGACGAUGCGUAGGGGUUCUGAGAGGAAGGCCCCCCACACUGGUACUGAGACACGGACCAGACUCCUACGGGAGGCAGCAGUGAGGAAUAUUGGUCAAUGGCCGGAAGGCUGAACCAGCCAAGCCGCGUGAGGGAGGAAGGCGCAGAGCGUCGCAGACCUCUUUUGCCGGGGGACAAAAGGCCGGACUCGUCCGGUCCUGAGGGUACCCGGAGAAAAAGCAUCGGCUAACUCCGUGCCAGCAGCCGCGGUAAUACGGAGGAUGCGAGCGUUAUCCGGAUUCAUUGGGUUUAAAGGGUGCGCAGGCGGGCCUUUAAGCCGGCGGUGAAAUCGCGGGGCUCAACCCCGCCGAGCCGUCGGAACUGGGGGCCUUGAGUGCGGCGGAGGCAUGCGGAAUGCGCGGUGUAGCGGUGAAAUGCAUAGAUAUCGCGCAGAACCCCGAUUGCGAAGGCAGCGUGCCGUGCCGCCACUGACGCUGAGGCACGAAAGCGCGGGGAUCGAACAGGAUUAGAUACCCUGGUAGUCCGCGCCGUAAACGAUGGAUGCUGGGUGUCCGGGGCGUUCAGGCCCUGGGUGCCGGAGCGAAAGCGGUAAGCAUCCCACCUGGGGAGUACGCCGGCAACGGUGAAACUCAAAGGAAUUGACGGGGGCCCGCACAAGCGGAGGAACAUGUGGUUUAAUUCGAUGAUACGCGAGGAACCUUACCCGGGCUCAAACGCCGAAGGGACAUUCCCCGAAAGGGGAUUGGCCAGCAAUGGUCUUCGGCGAGGUGCUGCAUGGUUGUCGUCAGCUCGUGCCGUGAGGUGUCGGAUUAAGUUCCAUAACGAGCGCAACCCCCGCGCGCAGUUGCUAACGGGUCAGGCCGAGGACUCUGCGCGGACUGCCGGCGCAAGCCGCGAGGAAGGCGGGGACGACGUCAAAUCAGCACGGCCCUUACGUCCGGGGCGACACACGUGUUACAAUGGCAGGUACAGCGGGAUGCCAUGGGGCGACCCAGAGCGGAACCCGAAAACCUGUCUCAGUUCGGAUUGGAGUCUGCAACCCGACUCCAUGAAGCUGGAUUCGCUAGUAAUCGCGCAUCAGCCACGGCGCGGUGAAUACGUUCCCGGGCCUUGCACACACCGCCCGUCA